Long non-coding RNA from Chiroxiphia lanceolata (lance-tailed manakin), 497 nucleotides. RefSeq lists it as uncharacterized. The transcript is spliced from 3 exons. The record is from RefSeq and is a predicted model, not a curated record. Lineage: Eukaryota; Metazoa; Chordata; Aves; Passeriformes; Pipridae.
AUACCUCACAAAGCUGCACCUUUCCUCAGCUUUCCUGACAAUUUCCCAAUAUGUUCUCCAACUAUGUGCCAAGACUGACCUUUUCCUCCCUAAGAGAUAUCAGUUAAGCCCACAGGAAAGGCACAUCUGUCUCACUGCUGAGAGCUGGCCAGGAGCUCUGCAAAUGUUGGCUGCUCUGUCAGGAUAACUGGAGAAGGCCAAAAGAGCACAAGUGUGGGAAUACUACAAGAAAUGCUUACAGAUGGACUGAUUCUCUCUAGAUGGGAUUGAAAUAGCUGAACAUGUGCAGUCUGGACUUCUGCAGAUCAAAGGUCUUUACCUCCAGUCAGGAUUGAUCUUACAUGAAGAACAACAGAAGAACACUUGAAGAGAUAGUUUCCUGAAUUUACUUGCAACAAGAUGAUCUGAAAACCAUGCUUCUUGUCUGUGUAAUGCUCCUGAAAAUACGCUGCACGUCAGACAAACACAGAAAACCUUGCUCUUGUUUAAGAAGCAGG